AGCAGUCGCCGCGGUAAAACGUAGGUGGCAAGCGUUGUCCGGAAUUAUUGGGCGUAAAGGGCUCGCAGGCGGUUUCUUAAGUCUGAUGUGAAAGCCCCCGGCUCAACCGGGGAGGGUCAUUGGAAACUGGGAAACUUGAGUGCAGAAGAGGAGAGUGGAAUUCCACGUGUAGCGGUGAAAUGCGUAGAGAUGUGGAGGAACACCAGUGGCGAAGGCGACUCUCUGGUCUGUAACUGACGCUGAGGAGCGAAAGCGUGGGGAGCGAACAGGAUUAGAUACCCCAGUAGUCCCUGUCUCUUAUAA
Molecule: ribosomal RNA, 303 nt
Filed under: uncultured bacterium
Lineage: Bacteria
Description: partial 16S ribosomal RNA
Rfam family: Bacterial small subunit ribosomal RNA
Source: RNAcentral